This 964-nucleotide ribosomal RNA is filed under the name uncultured bacterium. Its description in RNAcentral is "bacterial SSU rRNA". It matches the Rfam family "Bacterial small subunit ribosomal RNA", at positions 524 to 1482 of the family's 1533-position model. The record is from RNAcentral.
UACGUAGGGGGCAAGCGUUGUUCGGAAUCACUGGGCGUAAAGGGAGCGUAGGCGGAGGAAUAAGUUAGGAGUUUAAUGUACGGGCUUAACCCGUAAUCUGCUCCUAAUACUGUUUUUCUUGAGUAUGGGAGAGGGAGAUGGAAUUCCAGGUGUAGCGGUGGAAUGCGUAGAUAUCUGGAAGAACACCAGCUGCGAAGGCGGUCUCCUGGCCCAAUACUGACGCUGAGGCUCGAAAGCUAGGGGAGCAAACAGGAUUAGAUACCCUGGUAGUCCUAGCUGUAAACGAUGGACACUAGAUGCUGGAGGAGUCAAUCCUUUCGGUGUCGUAGCUAACGCGUUAAGUGUCCCGCCUGGGGAGUACGCUCGCAAGGGUGAAACUCAAAGGAAUUGACGGGGGCCCGCACAAGCGGUGGAGCAUGUGCUUUAAUUCGAUGCAACGCGAAGAACCUUACCUGGGUUUGACAUGGGAGUGAAAGUUUCCAGAGAUGGGAACCCUUCCGCAAGGAACACUCCACACAGGUGCUGCAUGGCUGUCGUCAGCUCGUGUCGUGAGAUGUUGGGUUAAGUCCCGCAACGAGCGCAACCCUCGCCCUUAGUUGCCAUCAGGUCAAGCUGGGAACUCUAAGGGGACUGCCUGGUUUAACCAGGAGGAAGGUGGGGAUGACGUCAAGUCAUCAUGGCUCUUACGUCCAGGGCCAGACACGUGCUACAAUGGUCGGUACAGAGGGUCGCAAAACCGCAAGGUCAAGCUAAUCCCACAAAACCGAUCUCAGUUAGGAUUGGAGUCUGCAAUUCGACUCCAUGAAUUUGGAAUCGCUAGUAAUCGCGGAUCAGAACGCCGCGGUGAAUACGUUCCCGGGCCUUGUACACACCGCCCGUCAAGCCAUGAAAGAUGGGAGUACCCAAAGUCGUUCAUCCAACCGCAAGGGGGAGGACGCCUAAGGUAAGACCAUUGAUUGGGGCU